Long non-coding RNA from Rosa chinensis, 486 nucleotides. RefSeq lists it as uncharacterized. Lineage: Eukaryota; Viridiplantae; Streptophyta; Magnoliopsida; Rosales; Rosaceae. The transcript is spliced from 3 exons. The record is from RefSeq and is a predicted model, not a curated record.
UGCAGCCCCGCUCUCCUCUCUCUCUCUCUCUCUCUCUCUCUCUGUGUCUCUCUCCGGAACGGCCGCACGACGCCUUUUCUUUCUUCGACGGUGACGCCGUGAUGGACUGACGGUGCGCGUCUUCAAGUCUGGGUUUGUCUCGAACUCUACUAGGUGAAGCAGCUUCGAUUUCAGUUUUCGACUCAAUUUCGGAAACUUCAAGCUUGGUGGUGUGGUUGAAGGUUGAAUUAUGCAAGCUGCUGGUGCAUAAAAGAUCUGCUGAACUUAAGUUAAUAGUUUCUCUCAUGUUAUAGUUUUUUAAUACAUGUUCCUUUUUUGUAGUGGUCCUUAUUGGCUUAUUCUAAAUAGCUUUUCAUUUUUCAGUAUUCUUUUAUUAAAUUAUUUUUGUUGUGGUGAUCUUACUCCAGAAAAUAACAAUUAACAAUUUUGUUUCUUGUUACUGUUGCCAGGCCAAAUGACUUCCAUGAUAUUCCCAAAUACUUUCUU